GAUGAACGCUGGCGGCGUGCCUAAUACAUGCAAGUCGAACGCUGGAGACCUAGCUUGCUAGAUCGAAGGAGUGGCGAACGGGUGAGUAAUACAUAAGCAACCUACCCACGAAGACUGGGAUAAUCUCUGGAAACGGGGACUAAUACCGGAUAGGUAAUCGGAAGGCAUCUUCUGGUUAUUAAAGGUUAAAAACACUGGUGGAUGGGCUUAUGGCGCAUUAGUUAGUUGGUGAGGUAACGGCCCACCAAGACGAUGAUGCGUAGCCGGCCUGAGAGGGUGAACGGCCACAUUGGGACUGAGACACGGCCCAGACUCCUACGGGAGGCAGCAGUAGGGAAUUUUCGGCAAUGGGGGCAACCCUGACCGAGCAACGCCGCGUGAGUGAAGACGGCCUUCGGGUUGUAAAGCUCUGUUGUAAGGGAAGAACGGUAGAUAGAGAAUAUCUAAGUGACGGUACCUUACCAGAAAGCCACGGCUAACUACGUG
RNAcentral lists this ribosomal RNA (486 nucleotides) under uncultured bacterium. Its description in RNAcentral is "partial 16S ribosomal RNA". It matches the Rfam family "Bacterial small subunit ribosomal RNA", at positions 28 to 507 of the family's 1533-position model. The record is from RNAcentral.